GCUCUUGUAGCUCAAUUGGUAGAGCAGAUCCCUUUUAAGGAUAAGGUUCUGGGUUCGAUUCCCAGCGAGAGCA
RNAcentral lists this transfer RNA (73 nucleotides) under Candidatus Staskawiczbacteria bacterium RIFOXYA2_FULL_32_7. Its description in RNAcentral is "tRNA-Lys". It matches the Rfam family "tRNA". Rfam says of the family: Transfer RNA (tRNA) molecules are approximately 80 nucleotides in length. Their secondary structure includes four short double-helical elements and three loops (D, anti-codon, and T loops). Further hydrogen bonds mediate the characteristic L-shaped molecular structure. tRNAs have two regions of fundamental functional importance: the anti-codon, which is responsible for specific mRNA codon recognition, and the 3' end, to which the tRNAs corresponding amino acid is attached (by aminoacyl-tRNA synthetases). tRNAs cope with the degeneracy of the genetic code in two manners: having more than one tRNA (with a specific anti-codon) for a particular amino acid; and 'wobble' base-pairing, i.e. permitting non-standard base-pairing at the 3rd anti-codon position. The record is from RNAcentral. RNAcentral also lists the same sequence under 4 other names. Lineage: Bacteria; Candidatus Staskawicziibacteriota.